This 325-nucleotide ribosomal RNA is filed under the name Staphylococcus haemolyticus. RNAcentral describes it as "partial 23S ribosomal RNA". It matches the Rfam family "Bacterial large subunit ribosomal RNA", at positions 766 to 1089 of the family's 2925-position model. Lineage: Bacteria; Bacillati; Bacillota; Bacilli; Caryophanales; Staphylococcaceae. The record is from RNAcentral.
AUGGAGGACCGAACCGACUUACGUUGAAAAGUGAGCGGAUGAACUGUGGGUAGCGGAGAAAUUCCAAUCGAACUUGGAGAUAGCUGGUUCUCUCCGAAAUAGCUUUAGGGCUAGCCUCAAGUGAUGAUUAUUGGAGGUAGAGCACUGUUUGGACGAGGGGCCCCUCUCGGGUUACCGAAUUCAGACAAACUCCGAAUGCCAAUUAAUUUAACUUGGGAGUCAGAACAUGGGUGAUAAGGUCCGUGUUCGAAAGGGAAACAGCCCAGACCACCAGCUAAGGUCCCAAAAUAUAUGUUAAGUGGAAAAGGAUGUGGCGUUGCCCAGA